GAUCAAGAUACAAAGGGCACAUGGUGGAUGCCUAGGCGCAAGAGGCCGAUGAAGGACGUGGUAGGCUGCGAAAAGCUUCGGGGAGCUGCCAAACAAGCGUAGAACCGGAGAUAUCCGAAUGGGGGAACCCGCCCGACGGAAUGGUCGGGCACCGCAUGCGGAACGAGAUAGGCAUGUGGAGGUAAGUGGAGGAACUGAAACAUCUUAGUACUCCGAGGAAUAGAGACCAUUCUCCUAGUAGUGGCGAGCGAACGGGGAAGAGCCCAAACUGACCGUGCGUGAGAGCAUGUAGGCGUUGCAUGGUCGGGGUAGAGCGCGCCGACGGACCCCCUACAUGGGGUCGAGGGAGUGACAAAACGGAGACCUAGAAGAAGGGCACUGGAAAGGCCAACCAUAGAGGGUGAGAGUCCCGUAUUCGAAAGGUAGACGUCUCCCGUCGGAAGGCGUGAGUACCACGGAGCACGCUAAUUCUGUGGGAAACUGGGGAGCCCACUCUCCAAGGCUAAAUACCGAAUGCGACCGAUAGUGGACAAGUACCGUGAGGGAAAGGUGAAAAGAACCGGGGUGACCGGAGUGAAAAGAACCUGAAACCGUGUGCUUACAAGCAGUGGGAGGACGAAUUCUCCUUCGGGGGGAUGUCGUCUGACCGCGUGCCUUUUGGAGAAUGAGCCAGCGAGUUACUCUCUGUGGCGGAGGUUAAGGGAGAGAACACCCGGAGCCGAAGCGAAAGCGAGUCCGAAUAGGGCGCACGAUGCUGAGCAUCUUUGAUGCUUGGGCAUGGCAGUCGCAGGGAGUAGACACGAAACCAGGUGAGCUACCCAUGGCCAGGGAGAAGCGGGGGUAAAACCUCGUGGAAGGCCGAACCUUUCACUGCUGCAAAAGUGAGGGAUGAGCUGUGGGUAGAGGCGAAAUGUCAAACGAACUUGGAGAUAGCUUGUUCUCCCCGAAAUAGCUCUAGGGCUAGCGCCAGGUGAUGGAUUGUGGAGGUAGAGCACUGAAUUGGCUAGGGGGCUUACAGCUUACCGAACCAUAUCAAACUCCGAAUACCACAAUGAGUAGCCUCGGCAGUCGGACAGUGGGGGAUGAGCUUCAUUGUCGAGAGGGAAAGAGCCCAGACCGCCAGCUAAGGUCCCAAAGUUUAGGCUAAGUGGAAAAGGAAGUGAGUUUGCUGAAACAGCCAGGAGGUUGGCUUAGAAGCAGCCAUCCUUGAAAGAGUGCGUAAUAGCUCACUGGUCUAGUGGACUUGCACCGAUAAUGUAACGGGGCUAAAGCCUAGCACCGAAGCUGCGGGCUCUGACGUAGGUCAGAGUGGUAGGGGAGCGUUCUGGCAGCGUAGAAGCCGUCUCGUGAGGGAUGGUGGAGCGGCCAGAAGUGAGAAUGCUGGCAUGAGUAGCGAGAAACGCGUGCGAAACGCGUUCGCCGUACGUCCAAGGUUUCCGACGGAAGGUUAAUCCACGUCGGGUUAGUCGGUCCUAAGUCGAGGGCGAAAGUCGUAGGCGAUGGACAACGGGUUAAUAUUCCCGUACCACGUGGAGAUGAUUGAGCGAAGGGGUGACGCAGGAGGGUAAUCCAGCCCAUUAACGGAUUUGGGUGCCAAACCUGUAGGGCGAUGAAGGGGACAGGGAAAACCGUUCCCGGAGCCUGAGGGGUGAAGGCGGGGCCAAGAGCCCAGAAGUGGAUGAGCCCAUACUGCCAAGAAAAGCCUCUAGUGAGUCUCGCGUGACCGUACCGCAAACCGACACAGGUGGACGGAUAGAGCAUAUCAAGGCGAUCGGGAGAACCUUUGUUAAGGAACUCGGCAAAAUGACUCCGUAACUUUGGAAGAAGGAGGGUCCCACUGGGUGAAGGAGCGAGCCUUCGGAGCCCGGAGGGAUGGCACGAAAGUGGCCCAACCGACUGUUUAACAAAAGCACAGGUCUCUGCUAAAGCGAAAGCUGAAGUAUAGGGGCUGACACCUGCCCAGUGCCGGAAGGUUAAGGGGAAAGGUUAGGAUGGCUUAGGUCAUCCAAAGCCAAGAACCGAAGCCCCGGUGAACGGCGGCCGUAACUAUAACGGUCCUAAGGUAGCGAAAUUCCUUGUCGGGUAAGUUCCGACCCGCACGAAUGGUGUAACGAGUUGGGCGCUGUCUCAACAAAGGACCCGGCGAAAUUGAAGUAGGCGUAAAGAUGCGUCUUCCCCGCAGCAGGACAAAAAGACCCCGUGGAGCUUUACUGUAACUUGUUAUUGAACCCGGGCUCGAUUUGUGUAGGAUAGGUGGGAGGCAGGGAAGCUGGGGCGCUAGCCUCGGUGGAGCCGCCAGUGAAAUACCACCCUAAUCGAGUCUUGGUCCUAACCCUUAUCCGUGAGCCGGUGAGGGGACAGUGUCAGGUGGACAGUUUGACUGGGGCGGUCGCCUCCCAAAAGGUAACGGAGGCGCCCAAAGGUUUCCUCAGGCUGGAUGGAACCAGCCAGAGAGUGUAAAGGCAGAAGGGAGCUUAACUGCGAGACAAACAGGUCGAGCAGUGACGAAAGUCGGGCUUAGUGAUCCCACGACGCCGUGUGGAAGGGUCGUGGCUUAACGGACAAAAGCUACCCCGGGGAUAACAGGCUAGUCUUGCCCAAGAGUUCACAUCGACGGCAAGGAUCGGCACCUCGAUGUCGGCUCAUCGCAUCCUGGGGCCGUACAAGGUCCCAAGGGUUGGGCUGUUCGCCCAUUAAAGCGGUACGUGAGCUGGGUUCAGACCGUCGUGAGACAGGUCGGUCUCUAUCCGCUGUGGGCGCAGGUGACUUGAGAGGAGCGAUUCCUAGUACGAGAGGACCGGAAUGGACAAACCGCUGGUGAGCCAGUUGUACCGCCAGGUGCAUAGCUGGGUAGCUACGUUUGGAUGGGAUAACCGCUGAAAGCAUCUAAGUGGGAAGCCCACCUCAAGAUGAGGUCACCCAUUGCGCGAAGCAAGUAAGACCCCUGGGAGACUACCAGGUAGAUAGGCGGCAUGUGUAAGGGCGGCAACGUCCUGAGCAAAGCCGUACUAAUGGUCGAGGGCUUGAACG
This 3030-nucleotide ribosomal RNA is filed under the name Candidatus Altarchaeales archaeon. Its description in RNAcentral is "23S ribosomal RNA". It matches the Rfam family "Bacterial large subunit ribosomal RNA". Lineage: Archaea; Nanobdellati; Candidatus Altarchaeota; Candidatus Altarchaeia; Candidatus Altarchaeales. The record is from RNAcentral.